CACGUCAACGCGCUUUGCUGACGUGGCAACAAACCGCGGCCUUCAGAACGCGAUAUGUGUCCACGUGGGCAAAGUGCGUUGAUGUGG
Gossypium hirsutum (cotton) is the source of this 87-nucleotide non-coding RNA. Lineage: Eukaryota; Viridiplantae; Streptophyta; Magnoliopsida; Malvales; Malvaceae. The record is from Rfam.